RNAcentral lists this ribosomal RNA (83 nucleotides) under Desulfobulbus propionicus. Lineage: Bacteria; Pseudomonadati; Thermodesulfobacteriota; Desulfobulbia; Desulfobulbales; Desulfobulbaceae. The record is from RNAcentral.
CCAUUCCGAACACGGAAGUUAAGCUCUUCAGCGCCGAUGGUACUGCAUGGGUGACUAUGUGGGAGAGUAGGUCGUUGCCGUUU